UGGGGAGUACGAUCGCAAGAUUGAAACUUAAAGGAAUUGGCGGGGGAGCACCACAAGGGGUGAAGCCUGCGGUUUAAUUGGAGUCAACGCCGGGAACCUUACCGGGGCUGACAGCAGAAUGAAGGUCAGGCUGAAGACUUUACCAGACAAGCUGAGAGGUGGUGCAUGGCCGUCGCCAGUUCGUGCCGUGAGGUGUCCUGUUAAGUCAGGCAACGAACGAGAUCCCCACCUUUAGUUGCCAGCGAAUUCCAACGGGAUGUCGGGCACACUAAUGGGACUGCCACCGAUAAGGUGGAGGAAGGAGGGGGCAACGGCAGGUCAGUAUGCCCCGAAUCCCCCGGGCCACACGCGGGCUGCAAUGGUAGGGACAGAGGGCUGCGACCCCGAGAGGGGAAGGCAAUCCCUAAACCCUACCUCAGUUGGGAUUGAGGGCUGCAACUCGCCCUCAUGAACAUGGAAUCCCUAGUAACCGCGUGUCAUCAUCGCGCGGUGAAUACGUCCCCGCUCCUUGCACACACCGCCCGUCGUUCCACCCAAGUGGAGUUUGGAUGAGGCGUGGUCUUCUUGGCUAUGUCGAAUCUGGGUUCGGUGAGGAGGGAAAAGUCGUAACAAGGUGGCCGUAGGGGAAC
This 629-nucleotide ribosomal RNA is filed under the name Gammaproteobacteria bacterium. RNAcentral describes it as "bacterial SSU rRNA". It matches the Rfam family "Archaeal small subunit ribosomal RNA", at positions 829 to 1458 of the family's 1478-position model. RNAcentral also lists the same sequence under 1 other name. Lineage: Bacteria; Pseudomonadati; Pseudomonadota; Gammaproteobacteria. The record is from RNAcentral.